Pipra filicauda (Wire-tailed manakin) is the source of this 1117-nucleotide long non-coding RNA. RefSeq lists it as uncharacterized. Lineage: Eukaryota; Metazoa; Chordata; Aves; Passeriformes; Pipridae. The record is from RefSeq and is a predicted model, not a curated record. The transcript is spliced from 2 exons.
GUGCCACCACUGCCUCCUGCCUGUUCCCAGCCAAUGCCAGCUCCGAGCAGGCUCCGUGUUGGUCCCCAGGAUGUCACAGAGGCAGCAGACGGGUCAGGGCUGCAGACAGAUGGGUGGGAGAACACGGAUAAUUAACCCAGCAGCAAAAUGGAACACAAUGGAAGAAGCUGAAAGCCCUCAGAGACCUGAGCAGUCUGACCUGUGUCCAUAAGAAACUCAAAGCAAACACAAACCUUCAGUCUGUCCUGGCUUAAGAAAUCCCUGAGUGGGAUUUUAAGGCUCUUUGCAGUAAUUUUCCUCAGUUUACUGCAGUGCAACAUUUCCCCUUGGAGCUGUGUCCCCAAACAGCUCUGUCUAUAGGGCCUCUGCAGUGCCAUGGAUCCACACAGGGAAUCUCACCAGCUCCCCGGAUCCACAUAAGGAAUCCCUCCUGCUCCUCCAAGGCCCUGUGUGACCACAAGCACCUGCUCACCGGGGGCAGCUGCAGUCUGGGCAGAGAGCAGGAGCCUGAGCACAGCUUUCUGUGGAGUUCAAUAGGCUGCCCCUAAGCUACAUCUCGGCAGGUGAACUGCACUCAAGGGAGGCUGCAGCACGACCCCAAGGGCAGUACCAGUGGUGAUGCAGAAGUAGGUCUCGUGUGGAGACACGUGAUGGAUCCUGUGGUGCUUCCUGGGCAGGAUAAUGUGCCAGUCCUGCAGGAAUAUGACCCAGCGUGGGAGCCCAAAGUACGUGUGGGACCACUUGUGGAUCUGGUUCGUCAUGGUGAUGAAGAUGAUGAGCGCGAAGACGUAACACUCCCAGGGACACGUCUCAUAUAAUGCCUCUGCAAAACAAGAGGUGCAUCUUUAAACACCGGUUCUGAAAAGGCAAAUUUCUACUAGGGCUGGUGCCACAGGAGCUAACAAAGGCCUCAACGAAGCUGCUUUGGCAGAAGUGUCACAAGAGCCAGUGAGCCAUAAGCAAUUCCCAAAUGUCACAAGACAGGCUGGGAAGUGCCAAUAUCUGUGAAUGCACCAUAAACAGGAAGUCAAACUGAGUUGACCAUCUAUAAAAUGAAUUUAAUCCUUUAGUUUUUGACUUCUAGUUUGCACAUAAAGUGCUUUCGCACAGAGAUGAA